Molecule: transfer RNA, 110 nt
Rfam family: tRNA
About the family: Transfer RNA (tRNA) molecules are approximately 80 nucleotides in length.
Source: Rfam
GGCAACUUGGCGGAGUGGUUAACGCGAUUGACUAGAAUCCUCGGUGCUCAACAAGAGCAGGUGGUGAUCAAUUUCCUUCGGGAGCGCAUGUUCGAAUCAUGCAGUUGUCG